Molecule: transfer RNA, 67 nt
Filed under: Marmota monax (woodchuck)
Lineage: Eukaryota; Metazoa; Chordata; Mammalia; Rodentia; Sciuridae
Description: tRNA.Ala
Source: RNAcentral
GGUUGUGGCUUAGUGGUAAAGUGCUUGCCUAGCAUGUGUGAGGCAUUGGGUUCAAUUCUCAGCACCA